UAAACGACUCUCGGCAACGGAUAUCUUGGCUCACGCAUCGAUGAAGAACGUAGCAAAAUGCGAUACUUGGUGUGAAUUGCAGAAUCCCGUGAACCAUCGAGUUUUUGAACGCAAGUUGCGCCCGAAGCCUUCUGGCCGAGGGCACGUCUGCCUGGGCGUCACG
This 163-nucleotide ribosomal RNA is filed under the name Bidens socorrensis. Its description in RNAcentral is "5.8S ribosomal RNA". It matches the Rfam family "5.8S ribosomal RNA". From Rfam's summary of the family: 5.8S ribosomal RNA (5.8S rRNA) is a component of the large subunit of the eukaryotic ribosome. It is transcribed by RNA polymerase I as part of the 45S precursor that also contains 18S and 28S rRNA. Lineage: Eukaryota; Viridiplantae; Streptophyta; Magnoliopsida; Asterales; Asteraceae. The record is from RNAcentral.